UGCAAGUAUUUAGCUGCCGGUGAAAAGCGGCUAAAUGGAUCCAAAUCCUUCACGCGGAGAGAAAAAGGGGAGAAGACGCGGCUUCCGCCGACUUGAAAUCGUCUCUGCUGUCGACAGGAAGUUGCUCGGCAGGUUCAUCUGGACGUUUCGCCUCCCAGGUCCCGAAGCCGUUUGACCGCGAUUGUCCCUCCAUUUUAUCUGAACCGAAGUCAUCUGUUGAGGUGGCGGGAGCGUCGUCUUUCAUGGCCGCAGGUUGUGCCUGACCUCGUUGACCUGCAGCGGAUUAAGCAGCUAAUUUAUCUGUGAUUCUGUUCUGAAGGUCUACUCAUAGCAGAGUUCACAUCCACAUCACCGUCCGUCCCCUCUUCAGUCCCCCCGGGGGGAGAGAAUCUUUCACGCAUCCCGACAGUCUUCUGCCGGCGCGUCCGCACACCCAGCGUUCGCCGUGUCCGAGAGGGACGUCUGAUCAUGGACUGUCCGCCUCCGCGAGGAGGAGAGUUCCUCUGCGGGGCUGAGGACUGGAGGCUGAGGUGGAAGGACAGGGCUGGGCUGUGAACCAGUCUCUCUUACUGGGAGAGACCAGUGAAACGACACAGUAACAAAACUGUUCUGGAUUCAGCCUCACCUGUCCCCCUUUUUCUCACCUGGCACAGGCCAGGAAAGAAAACAGGCCUCAGUCUUGUAUGUUGCAAUUAAGAG
This is a long non-coding RNA of Xiphias gladius (swordfish), 699 nucleotides long. RefSeq lists it as uncharacterized. The record is from RefSeq and is a predicted model, not a curated record. The transcript is spliced from 4 exons. Lineage: Eukaryota; Metazoa; Chordata; Actinopteri; Istiophoriformes; Xiphiidae.